This 460-nucleotide ribosomal RNA is filed under the name uncultured bacterium. RNAcentral's name for it is "partial 16S ribosomal RNA". It matches the Rfam family "Bacterial small subunit ribosomal RNA", at positions 338 to 795 of the family's 1533-position model. The record is from RNAcentral.
CCUACGGGAGGCAGCAGUGAGGACUAUUGGUCAAUGGGCGCUAGCCUGAACCAGCCAAGUCGCGUGAAGGAUGACUGCCCUACGGGUUGUAAACUUCUUUUAUAAAGGAAUAAAGUGCGGCACGUGUGCCUUUUUGUCUGUACUUUAUGAAUAAGGAUCGGCUAACUCCGUGCCAGCAGCCGCGGUAAUACGGAGGAUCCGAGCGUUAUCCGGAUUUAUUGGGUUUAAAGGGCGCGUAGAUGGGUUGUUAAGUCAGUUGUGACAGUUUGCGGCUCAACCGUAAAAUUGCAAUUGAUACUGGCAGUCUUGAGUACAGUGGAGGUAGGCGGAAUUCGUGGUGUAGCGGUGAAAUGCUUAGAUAUCACGAAGAACUCCGAUUGCGAAGGCAGCUUGCUAAACUGCCACUGACAUUGAUGCUCGAAAGUGUGGGUAUCAAACAGGAUUAGAUACCCCGGUAGUC